GUUGUCUUGUGAAAAAGUAUAAAUUUCUAGUUAUAAGAUAAAUAAGUAGUAGGGAUGUAAGGUACAACAUGAUGUCUAUAGCCAACACUGC
Non-coding RNA from Ceratotherium simum simum (southern white rhinoceros), 91 nucleotides. The record is from RefSeq and is a predicted model, not a curated record. NCBI's taxonomy places the organism in Eukaryota, Metazoa, Chordata, Mammalia, Perissodactyla, Rhinocerotidae.